GGCUCAGGACGAACGCUGGCGGCGUGCCUAACACAUGCAAGUCGAGCGAUGAAAUCCUUCGGGAUGGAUUAGCGGCGGACGGGUGAGUAACACGUGGGUAACCUGCCUUGUAGAGGGGGAUAGCCUUCCGAAAGGAAGAUUAAUACCGCAUAAUAUCUUUUUAUCGCAUGGUAGAAAGAUCAAAGGAGCAAUCCGCUACAAGAUGGACCCGCGGCGCAUUAGCUAGUUGGUGAGGUAACGGCUCACCAAGGCGACGAUGCGUAGCCGACCUGAGAGGGUGAUCGGCCACAUUGGAACUGAGACACGGUCCAGACUCCUACGGGAGGCAGCAGUGGGGAAUAUUGCGCAAUGGGGGGAAAAACCCCUGACGCAGCAACGCCGCGUGAAUGAAGAAGGCCUUAGGGUUGUAAAGUUCUGUUUACGGGGACGAUAAUGACGGUACCCGUGGAGGAAGCCACGGCUAACUACGUGCCAGCCGCAGC
This 482-nucleotide ribosomal RNA is filed under the name uncultured bacterium. RNAcentral's name for it is "bacterial SSU rRNA". It matches the Rfam family "Bacterial small subunit ribosomal RNA", at positions 21 to 518 of the family's 1533-position model. The record is from RNAcentral.